RNAcentral lists this ribosomal RNA (497 nucleotides) under uncultured bacterium. Its description in RNAcentral is "partial 16S ribosomal RNA". It matches the Rfam family "Bacterial small subunit ribosomal RNA", at positions 28 to 507 of the family's 1533-position model. The record is from RNAcentral.
GAUGAACGCUGGCGGCGUGCCUAAUACAUGCAAGUCGAGCGAACAGACGAGGAGCUUGCUCCUCUGACGUUAGCGGCGGACGGGUGAGUAACACGUGGAUAACCUACCUAUAAGACUGGGAUAACUUCGGGAAACCGGAGCUAAUACCGGAUAACAUGUUGAACCGCAUGGUUCAACAGUGAAAGACGGUCUUGCUGUCACUUAUAGAUGGAUCCGCGCCGUAUUAGCUGGUUGGUAAGGUCACGGCUUACCAAGGCAACGAUGCGUGGCCGACCGGAGAGGGUGAUAGGCCACACUGGAACGGAGACACGGUCCAGACUCCUACGGGAGGCAGCAGUAGGGAAUCUUCCGCAAUGGGCGAAAGCCUGACGGAGCAACGCCGCGUGAGUGAAGAAGGUCUUCGGAUCGUAAAACUCUGUUAUUAGGGAAGAACAAAUGUGUAAGUAACUAUGCACGUCUUGACGGUACCUAAUCAGAAAGCCACGGCUAACUACGUG